CUGGCUCAGGAUGAACGCUAGCUACAGGCUUAACACAUGCAAGUCGAGGGGCAGCAUUGGGAUAGCUUGCUAUUCAGAUGGCGACCGGCGCACGGGUGAGUAACGCGUAUCCAACCUCCUGCCAGUAGGGAACAGCCCGGCGAAGGUCGGAUUAAUGCCCUAUGUUCUUCAAUGCGGACAUCUAAGUUGAAGGAAAGAUUCAUCGCUGGCAGAUGGGGAUGCGUCCGAUUAGCUUGCCGGCGGGGUAACGGCCCACCGGGGCGACGAUCGGUAGGGGUUCUGAGAGGAAGGUCCCCCACACUGGUACUGAGACACGGACCAGACUCCUACGGGAGGCAGCAGUGAGGAAUAUUGGUCAAUGGGCGUAAGCCUGAACCAGCCAAGUAGCGUGCAAGGAUGACGGCCCUACGGGUUGUAAACUGCUUUUAUGCGGGGAUAAAGUGCGGCACGUGUGCCGCUUUGCAGGUACCGCAUGAAUAAGGACCGGCUAAUUCCGUGCCAGCCGCGGC
This 509-nucleotide ribosomal RNA is filed under the name uncultured bacterium. RNAcentral's name for it is "bacterial SSU rRNA". It matches the Rfam family "Bacterial small subunit ribosomal RNA", at positions 19 to 518 of the family's 1533-position model. The record is from RNAcentral.